Molecule: ribosomal RNA, 252 nt
Filed under: uncultured bacterium
Lineage: Bacteria
Description: partial 16S ribosomal RNA
Rfam family: Bacterial small subunit ribosomal RNA
Source: RNAcentral
UACGGAGGGGCUAGCGUUGUUCGGAAUUACUGGGCGUAAAGCGCACGUAGGCGGCUUUGUAAGUUAGAGGUGAAAGCCCAGGGCUCAACCCUGGAAUUGCCUUUAAGACUGCAUCGCUAGAAUUGUGGAGAGGUAAGUGGAAUUCCGAGUGUAGAGGUGAAAUUCGUAGAUAUUCGGAAGAACACCAGUGGCGAAGGCGACUCGCUGGACAGGUAUUGACGCUGAGGUGCGAAAGCGUGGGGAGCAAACAGG